AGCGAACGCUGGCGGCAGGCUUAACACAUGCAAGUCGAGCGGGCAUCCUUGUGGUGUCAGCGGCAGACGGGUGAGUAACGCGUGGGAACGUGCCCUUCGGUUCGGAAUAACUCAGGGAAACUUGAGCUAAUGCCGGAUACGUGCGAGAGCAGAAAGGUUUAUCUGCCGAAGGAUCGGCCCGCGUCUGAUUAGCUAGUUGGUGAGGUUACGGCUCACCAAGGCGACGAUCAGUAGCUGGUCUGAGAGGAUGAUCAGCCACACUGGGACUGAGACACGGCCCAGACUCCUACGGGAGGCAGCAGUGGGGAAUAUUGGACAAUGGGGGCAACCCUGAUCCAGCCAUGCCGCGUGAGUGAUGACGGCCUUAGGGUUGUAAAGCUCUUUUCUCCGGGACGAUAAUGACGGUACCGGAGGAAUAAGCCCCGGCUAACUUCGUG
RNAcentral lists this ribosomal RNA (437 nucleotides) under uncultured bacterium. RNAcentral describes it as "partial 16S ribosomal RNA". It matches the Rfam family "Bacterial small subunit ribosomal RNA", at positions 29 to 507 of the family's 1533-position model. The record is from RNAcentral.